Ornithodoros turicata is the source of this 612-nucleotide long non-coding RNA. RefSeq lists it as uncharacterized. The record is from RefSeq and is a predicted model, not a curated record. NCBI's taxonomy places the organism in Eukaryota, Metazoa, Arthropoda, Arachnida, Ixodida, Argasidae. The transcript has 3 exons.
CUUACGGUGCUCACAACAGUCGCCGCAGCGAUCAUGGCAACUUCUUGCAAUUACGGUCGUACCAACCGUACUGGCAAGGUUACAGGGCCUAAAUUUAUACAGGUUUCGUCAUGAGGGCUACCCAGUGAAUAAUCUGUGUAGUGUGAUACGGCUGGGUGUACAGGUUACUUCACAGCUGCCUCGACAUACUCAAGAAAUGGGUGCAGAACCUGCGUAAUGCCCACAAACUUUGAUUACCACAGCACCUCCAGAAAGUAUGUGUCACAUGGGAUUUUUAAAUGUAUUCACAGUAUAUAAUACCUUGUAUUAACUGUUGUAGAUCUAAGCCGUCUCUACAGUACACUCUCAGAAAUUAAAACCGUGAGAACCGUGAUAAUUGUUUCAGUUAAUAGGCAUGCACAUAUAUGCUAUAAGAAGAAAAUUAUUUCUUGAGAAUGCACUUCUCUGGCUACCGGUGUUGUUUACAUCUACUGUUGAUCACAUUCAUUUAUCACGUAUUAUAUUCUUAUAUAUACUAUUAUAUUAACACAUAUUUGAUCACAUUAAAUUCAAAAUUCAUCAUAUAUAAGAAAAUACCAGGAGGGAAGUUGCUAUUCAUUGCUCGUUCUAACC